Paramuricea clavata is the source of this 684-nucleotide non-coding RNA. NCBI's taxonomy places the organism in Eukaryota, Metazoa, Cnidaria, Anthozoa, Malacalcyonacea, Plexauridae. The record is from the annotation of a GenBank genome assembly.
GAAAUAUAUAUAUAGGCAUUCUCCGGUGCUGUAAUUAAAUUCGGUGGAAAAUUGCACUCGCGUUUUAAUGAGCUGUGCCGGUCAUAUGCGAUAUUAAUAUAAAAACUAAUUACCCACUUCACUUCAUAUCCACGAGUUGACAAGCGCGUAUAGAUAACGAGGAAGGAUUCAAAUUAAUCCUAGUAGCUCGCCAAAGUUGAUAUUAAACUCCGCAAUAACCUUACGCCGAUCGAGAGGCGAAGAACACUGCCCAGACUUUGACCUGUUUUUAUUUUGGAUUUCGAUUCGAGAUACAGUAGGCCGGAACAAUAGUGUUUAUAUCUUGUAAUCUACGGUGGCUCACCGACUCAAAAUACAAGACAAAAGACAGACGAGGUAUUUAAUUGUAAGGUAAGGUUUUAAAUUGACACUGCGUUUUAAGACGACUUUCAAAUUACUAUACUAUAUUUGAUAUUUAUAACUAAACUUUUUCGUUUCGUGAUACAUGCGUGUAUAUGCAUAUAUAAGUUCAUUACGAAAUUGUCCAUUUAUAUACAAUUUAUAUAUUUUCCUUCAAUUCAUUUGGUUCGCUGUGAACGAACUCUGUAGUCUUACAGAUUUUCUUUGAUAUUUUUAGGUGUUUAUUGGCUUGAAUUCUUACACGCUGAAAGAGAGGUGUCUGUAUGGAUUCAACGAAUAGUAAGU